ACAUUAAAAGCGGUGACUGCUGGUUAAGAACCGAGUACCUGUUGUGUGUCCUUGUUGAAAGUUCACUAUGCUGCAACCCACGUUAAUACAACACAGAACAAUUCAGCAACACAUAAAGUUACAACAUGGUGUCAGAAGUUCGAUCUCUCAUGUGAACGAAGACUACAGCCGGGCGACGCAAGUAAGCUAGCUGAAGAUUAGCACAUGGCGAAAGCUGCCGACAACAUGGAGCAAUUCAAGUCACCAUCGCCGCUGCUGCUCUCCGGCAAUUAGUCUGAGACCUGGCGCAGAUGGGAACAAAGAUUCCAGCUGUACAUGACCGCAUCAGUGUCCAGUCAUGCAGAUAAGUCGAUCCUUGGAGGACAAGCACGUGAAGAGCUGCAGCUGGUGAAGCGAGUUGGGACAAUAGCAACAACAAAGUCGCCACAGCUGACCAAACCAUCAGCUACUAAAGAAGAGCUCAUAGAGGAGUACGCAGAGGUCUUCACGGGUUUGGGUGAGUUUCCUGGAGUUCACCACUUACACAUAAACCCAAACGUCACACCUGUGAUUCAUGCGUGCAGUAACCUGCCACUUUGCAUAAUGGAGCUGCUAAAAAAGACACUGAAAGAUUUACAAGACAGAAACGUGAUAAUGCCAGUCAACGAGCCCACAGAUUGGGUUAAUAAUCUUGUUGCGACGCAGAAAAAGAACGGAACACUAAGGGUGUGUUUGGACCCUUGUGUACGGUGGCCGGGAAGUGCAAAACAAUAAUACAUUUCGACCGAAACACAUUAAACACAUUUACAUUUCG
RNAcentral lists this long non-coding RNA (793 nucleotides) under Oryzias javanicus (javanese ricefish). Its description in RNAcentral is "lncRNA (ENSOJAG00000008916.1)". The record is from RNAcentral. Lineage: Eukaryota; Metazoa; Chordata; Actinopteri; Beloniformes; Adrianichthyidae.